RNAcentral lists this long non-coding RNA (322 nucleotides) under Malus domestica (apple). Its description in RNAcentral is "long non-coding RNA (MDOM_LNC003345)". The record is from RNAcentral. Lineage: Eukaryota; Viridiplantae; Streptophyta; Magnoliopsida; Rosales; Rosaceae.
CUUGAUCUUGGAUGAACGGAUGAUGAACGAUGGUGCUUUCUUCAAGGGCCGUCGGGGCUUGAUCUUGAAUUGGUGGAUGGUUGAUCCAAGGGCCGUCGGGGCUUGAUCUUGGAAGAACAAUGAACGAAGAACGAAGAACGAAGAACACUUUCUUCAAGGGCCGUCGGGGCUUGAUCUUGAAUUGGUGGAUGAUUGUUGAUCCAAAGGGCCGUUGGGGCUUGAUCUUAGGAUGAACGAUGAACGAAGAACGCUUUCUUGAUUCUUCGGGAACCUGGAUGCUUGAGAGCUUCGGAGUUUCAGAGCUUCAGAGCUUCAAGAGUUU